Molecule: transfer RNA, 129 nt
Filed under: Streptomyces phage Mildred21
Lineage: Duplodnaviria; Heunggongvirae; Uroviricota; Caudoviricetes; Stanwilliamsviridae
Description: tRNA-OTHER
Source: RNAcentral
GGCCCCAAGAGGCAGCCAGUGGUCACCGGGAUGCAUACCGCCCAUUGGACCUUAUCUGGGUACCACGUCUAUGCAACCGACGGGUUGAGCCCAUAGGCAAUGGGGAGGGUUCGAAUCCCUCUGGGGUCC